CAUACAGAUUAUUAGGAUGAUGGCAAGACCUUUUUUCUUUGGUAACCGGUACCAAUCGAUCAUGUACGAGCUCUCACAUACUUUCAUAGUCUUUAUCAAAAACUGGCGCGCUAUAAAGGAGUCUUGCGGCAAGUAAUAACGGAUGUACCUGUUCCGCUAAAAGUUCACCUAUGUAACAGAAUAUGAAUAUAUUGAACGUAACCGAGA
This is a long non-coding RNA of Ooceraea biroi (clonal raider ant), 207 nucleotides long. RefSeq lists it as uncharacterized. Lineage: Eukaryota; Metazoa; Arthropoda; Insecta; Hymenoptera; Formicidae. The record is from RefSeq and is a predicted model, not a curated record.